Molecule: ribosomal RNA, 2398 nt
Filed under: Triticum aestivum (bread wheat)
Lineage: Eukaryota; Viridiplantae; Streptophyta; Magnoliopsida; Poales; Poaceae
Description: partial small subunit ribosomal RNA
Source: RNAcentral
GGGUGCCUCAUCCAACAAGCAACGAGAGAGCCUUUUUUGUGGUUAUGCAACGACAUAGCUUGGCUAAUAAACAAGAUAGUAUAUACGGGCGAUCCGGUGAAAGGAAAAACGAAAGGCACGGAAGAAAAUGGAGAUGAUUUGAGCAUGAAUGGUUAGAUUCUGUGGCCGUGGAAGGCCAUGGAAUUGAUGGCCAGCAGACGUACCUGCAGCUGCAGCAGCAGCGUUUGGUCUUGACGGUCCAAGUCAUCCAACCGGCCGGCCAAGACGCUUAGAACCCAAUCUCCAGCGUGUGGCCUGUGGGGGAUCGGGAAGCUGAUCCACAAGCAGGGGUGUGUGUAUGCCGCCUCCUCCUCUAAGCUCCCCACCGCAGCAAUAUGCCAAUCCACGUGUAUUUAAGGCAUCUCAUAGCUCGGCCUCUAUACUUUGAGCAGCAGCAGUCAUUCAUCACUGAUCACCAGCACAGCCGCGCAUCCACCGCUGCUAGCAAGGUCGAGCAAGCAGCACAGAGAUGGCUGCUGCCUUCUCCUCCACCGUCGGUGCCCCGGCUUCUACGCCGACCAACUUCCUCGGGAAGAAGCUCAAGAAGCAGGUGACCUCGGCCGUGAACUACCAUGGCAAGAGCUCCAAGGCCAACAGGUUCACGGUCAUGGCAGCGGAAAACAUCGACGAGAAGAGGAACACCGACAAGUGGAAGGGUCUUGCGUACGAUAUCUCCGACGACCAGCAGGACAUCACCAGAGGGAAGGGCAUCGUGGACUCCCUCUUCCAGGCGCCCACUGGCGACGGCACCCACGAGGCCGUCCUCAGCUCAUACGAGUACGUCAGCCAGGGACUCAAGAAGUACGACUUCGACAACACCAUGGGAGGCUUCUACAUCGCUCCUGCUUUCAUGGACAAGCUUGUUGUCCAUCUCUCCAAGAACUUCAUGACCCUGCCCAACAUCAAGAUCCCACUCAUCUUGGGUAUCUGGGGAGGCAAGGGUCAAGGAAAAUCCUUCCAGUGUGAGCUUGUCUUCGCCAAGAUGGGCAUCAACCCAAUCAUGAUGAGUGCCGGAGAGCUGGAGAGUGGCAACGCCGGAGAGCCAGCCAAGCUCAUCAGGCAGCGGUACCGUGAGGCUGCAGACAUGAUCAAGAAGGGUAAGAUGUGCUGCCUCUUCAUCAACGAUCUUGACGCCGGUGCGGGUAGGAUGGGCGGGACCACACAGUACACCGUCAACAACCAGAUGGUGAACGCCACCCUCAUGAACAUCGCCGAUGCCCCCACCAAUGUGCAGCUCCCAGGCAUGUACAACAAGGAGGAGAACCCACGUGUGCCCAUCGUCGUCACUGGUAACGAUUUCUCGACGUUGUACGCCCCUCUGAUCCGUGAUGGUCGUAUGGAGAAGUUCUACUGGGCUCCCACCCGCGACGACCGUAUCGGUGUCUGCAAGGGUAUCUUCCAGACCGACAAUGUCAGCGACGAGUCCGUCGUCAAGAUCGUCGACACCUUCCCAGGACAAUCCAUCGACUUUUUCGGUGCUCUGCGUGCUCGGGUGUACGACGACGAGGUGCGCAAGUGGGUGACCUCUACCGGUAUCGAGAACAUUGGCAAGAAGCUGGUGAACUCGCGGGACGGACCAGUGACCUUUGAGCAGCCAAAGAUGACAGUGGAGAAGCUGCUAGAGUACGGGCACAUGCUCGUCCAGGAGCAGGACAAUGUCAAGCGUGUGCAGCUUGCUGACACCUACAUGAGCCAGGCAGCUCUGGGUGAUGCUAACCAGGAUGCGAUGAAGACUGGUACCUUCUACGGUAAAGGGGCACAGCAAGGUACUUUGCCUGUACCGGCAGGAUGCACCGACCAGACUGCCAAGAACUUCGACCCAACGGCGAGGAGUGACGACGGCAGCUGCCUUUACACCUUUUAAGCAUGCCAAUUUAAUAUCUGAUGUUUUAUCCUUUGUACCUAAGUACCGCAUCGCAUCCAAGCGAUUGCUGGGCAUGUUUUGUUAAUAUAUAAAGAUAUUGAGUAUACCUAUUUGGUAAAGACAAAUAGGACUACUUAUCAUUUGUCACUCUCAGUAUUCAUUCCUUCAGUGGAGACUGCUUCUGCUUUGUUGCAAACAGAACAAAAAAAUAUUAAUUUGAGCUUCAGCUUAUUAAUUAUUAUUGCACAAACGCAUGGAAACUAAGAGUCACUUGUGUUCAUGUGAUGCAUACAGCGUGUAAUUUUAGCGCUGCUGUUCCGGAAGGAGCACUUGUUUCACACAAUUGCUCUGGAAGGUACAUCCUUAAUAACCAGCUCGAUGAUGCUGUGGUUCCCUAAGAGCAAGAAAAAAGUAUGCCGUCAACGUUGUCCACUAUCGAUUAGUAGCGAUAGAAAUCAAUUAGAAAAAAAUGUCGCUCAUGUUAAUAUACAUACA